GCUGCGCUAGUAUAGUGGUCAGUACUUCUCGUUGUGGUUCCGACAUACAGCGAUCCGAGAGGACCCAUGUUCGAUUCAUGGGCGCAGCA
Molecule: non-coding RNA, 89 nt
Organism: Lasiosphaeria hispida
Lineage: Eukaryota; Fungi; Ascomycota; Sordariomycetes; Sordariales; Lasiosphaeriaceae
Source: the annotation of a GenBank genome assembly